RNAcentral lists this unclassified non-coding RNA (279 nucleotides) under plant metagenome. RNAcentral's name for it is "partial contains small subunit ribosomal RNA, internal transcribed spacer 1, and 5.8S ribosomal RNA". The record is from RNAcentral.
UCUCCGUUGGUGAACCAGCGGAGGGAUCAUUACCGAGUUUCAAACUCCCAAACCCAAUGUUAACCGUACCCUACACUUUCCUCGGCGCGGUCACGCCCCGGGUUCGUCCCAGCCCCGGCACUAGGCCCCCGCGCGGGCGACCGACCAAACUCAUCCUGCACUCCCUUCGCUGUCGCUUUUUUUAGAGCUCUGUGCAGAAAUUGGCAAAGAUUUCAAACUUUCAACAACGGGUUCCUUCGUUCUGGCAUCGCGGAAGAACGCAGAAGAUCGCACGACCAC